This 480-nucleotide ribosomal RNA is filed under the name uncultured bacterium. RNAcentral's name for it is "partial 16S ribosomal RNA". It matches the Rfam family "Bacterial small subunit ribosomal RNA", at positions 355 to 828 of the family's 1533-position model. The record is from RNAcentral.
UAGGGAAUCUUCCGCAAUGGACGAAGUCUGAUGGAGCAACGCCGCGUGAGUGAUGAAGGGUUUCGGCUCGUAAAACUCUGUUGUUGGAGAAGAACGGGUGUCAGAGUAACUGUUGACAUCGUGACGGUAUCCAACCAGAAAGCCACGGCUAACUACGUGCCAGCAGCCGCGGUAAUACGUAGGUGGCAAGCGUUGUCCGGAUUUAUUGGGCGUAAAGCGAGCGCAGGCGGUUUUUUAGGUCUGAUGUGAAAGCCUUCGGCUUAACCGGAGAAGUGCAUCGGAAACCGGGAGACUUGAGUGCAGAAGAGGACAGUGGAACUCCAUGUGUAGCGGUGAAAUGCGUAGAUAUAUGGAAGAACACCAGUGGCGAAGGCGGCUGUCUGGUCUGCAACUGACGCUGAGGCUCGAAAGCAUGGGUAGCGAACAGGAUUAGAUACCCUGGUAGUCCAUGCCGUAAACGAUGAGUGCUAAGUGUUGGAG